RNAcentral lists this ribosomal RNA (378 nucleotides) under uncultured bacterium. RNAcentral describes it as "bacterial SSU rRNA". It matches the Rfam family "Bacterial small subunit ribosomal RNA", at positions 790 to 1167 of the family's 1533-position model. The record is from RNAcentral.
GUAGUCCUUGCCGUAAACGAUGUAUACUUGAUGUAGUUAGGCUCAACCCUGGCUGUGUCGUAGCUAACGCGAUAAGUAUACCGCCUGAGGAGUACGCUCGCAAGGGUGAAACUCAAAAGAAUUGACGGGGGCCCGCACAAGCAGUGGAGCAUGUGGUUUAAUUCGAUGCAACGCGAAGAACCUUACCCAGGCUCGAAAUGCAAAGGACAGCAUCAGAGAUGAUGUGUUCCGAAAGGACCUUUGUAUAGGUGCUGCAUGGCUGUCGUCAGCUCGUGCCGUGAGGUGUUGGGUUAAGUCCCGCAACGAGCGCAACCCUUAUCAUUAGUUGCCAACACGUAAAGGUGGGGACUCUAAUGAGACUGCCUAGGUUAACUAGGA